UUUUAAAAACUGAUUUGCCGUCGUUCACUUGCGAAACCGCCCAACUUUUCAGUCAGGACGUCAAGGAUUUUGAAAUAAAGAAAAAAUAUCAUAUUUUGUGGAAGAAAUCCCCAGAGGACCAGGGACAAUACUACAAAGCACAGAUAUUAAAAUUGGCUGAAACUAAAGAGGAAUUAACUCGUGAGAGAAUCUCGAUACCCCCACUCGAUAGUGAUGAGGAAGACCGGUCAUCCUCGAGAAGGUCCAUGAAUCCAUCUUGUGACAACACAAAUGACAAGAAAAAAAAAAAGGCAGCAGUUCAAAGCAUACAAAAAAGGAAGAAUUUAAUGGAUAUCCUAAAAGAAAAGAAAAAAGUUAUCCAGACCAGUUUUGAAUCACAAGAGGAACAUGUCCCCAUGGCUGUGCACAAGGAACUGCAAGACAAAUAUUACAACCUCAAAAAAAGGAUGCGAGAGGAGGAGAUGGCUAAUGAAGAAAAUGGGAAAAAAAUUAAAUGCUUAAAAGAAGAGAAAAGGGACAUGAAGGCUGAACUGCAGCAACUAAGGUGGUUAAACCUAAAUCUCCAAGAGGAGCUUUUCCAAAAAAAAAAAAUAACACAGAAUGAGACCUCUUCUGCAGUCCAUACUCCACUCCCACAACAGCCAUUUCAUGGUCCAGAAAAACUAGCAGAAGAGCAAACAGACAUGAUACCCAAAAUAAAACGAAAAGAACCACAGACCUCUUCUGCAGGCCACACUCAACUCCCACAGCAACCAGUUCUUGGUCCAGAAGAACCAGAAGAGGAGCUAAGACACAGCGAUGGCAAGGUAUUUUCUAACUGUAAUUGUAUUUGUAGUUACAACAUUACAAACACGUUACAAAACUAAGCAAC
Cyprinus carpio carpio is the source of this 871-nucleotide long non-coding RNA. The record is from Ensembl. Lineage: Eukaryota; Metazoa; Chordata; Actinopteri; Cypriniformes; Cyprinidae.